Molecule: non-coding RNA, 82 nt
Filed under: Legionella shakespearei DSM 23087
Lineage: Bacteria; Pseudomonadati; Pseudomonadota; Gammaproteobacteria; Legionellales; Legionellaceae
Description: Legionella RNA 69
Rfam family: Legionella RNA 69
Source: Rfam by way of RNAcentral
AAUCAUUUUCGUGGGGAUACCUCAGCCCGAACGGCAUCGAAGUAACGACUGGAUAAAACAAGCGUCUCAUCCAUAACUCAUG